UAAGGAAUAUUGGUCAAUGGAGGCAACUCUGAACCAGCCAUGCCGCGUGCAGGAAGAAGGCCCUAUGGGUCGUAAACUGCUUUUGAACAAGAGAAAACCCCGGUACGUGUACUGGGUUGAUAGUAUUGUUAGAAUAAGCAUCGGCUAACUUCGUGCCAGCAGCCGCGGUAAGACGAAGGAUGCAAGCGUUAUCCGGAUUCAUUGGGUUUAAAGGGUGCGUAGGCGGACUGAUAAGUCAGUGGUGAAAUCUCUCGGCUUAACCGAGAAACUGCCAUUGAUACUGUUAGUCUAGAGUACAGAUGAUGUGGGCGGAAUAUGACAUGUAGCGGUGAAAUACUUAGAUAUGUCAUAGAACACCGAUUGCGAAGGCAGCUCACAAAACUGUAACUGACGCUGAGGCACGAAAGUGCGGGGAUCAAACAGGAUUAGAUACCCCCGUAGUCCCUGAGCGGGCUGGCAAGGCGCAU
This 467-nucleotide ribosomal RNA is filed under the name uncultured bacterium. RNAcentral's name for it is "bacterial SSU rRNA". It matches the Rfam family "Bacterial small subunit ribosomal RNA", at positions 355 to 825 of the family's 1533-position model. The record is from RNAcentral.